GACGAACGCUGGCGGCAUGCUUAACACAUGCAAGUCGAACGGAAUAUGGGUGCUUGCAUCCAUGUUUAGUGGCAAACGGGUGAGUAACACGUGGGAACUUACCCUUCAGAGCGGGACAAGCACUGGAAACGGUGUCUAAUACCGCAUACGCCCUCAGGGGGAAAGGAGAGAUCCGCUGAAGGAGAGGCCCGCGGCAGAUUAGGUAGUUGGUGGGGUAAAAGCCUACCAAGCCGAUGAUCUGUAGCUGGUUUGAGAGGAUGAUCAGCCACACUGGAACUGGGACACGGUCCAGACUCCGACGGGAGGCAGCAGUGGGGAAUAUUGGACAAUGGGGGAAACCCUGAUCCAGCAAUGCCGCGUGAGUGACGAAGGCCUUAGGGUUGUAAAACUCUUUUCUAAGUGAAGAUGAUGACGGUAACUUAGGAAUAAGCUCCGGCUAACUUCGUGCCAGCCGCCGCAGUAA
This 463-nucleotide ribosomal RNA is filed under the name uncultured bacterium. RNAcentral's name for it is "partial 16S ribosomal RNA". It matches the Rfam family "Bacterial small subunit ribosomal RNA", at positions 28 to 523 of the family's 1533-position model. The record is from RNAcentral.